AUUGAACGCUGGCGGCAUGCUUUACACAUGCAAGUCGAACGGUAACAGGCCGCAAGGUGCUGACGAGUGGCGAACGGGUGAGUAAUGCAUCGGAACGUGCCCAGUCGUGGUGGAUAACUACUCGCAAGAGUAGCUAAUACCGCAUACGAUCUAUGGAUGAAAGCGGGGGACCGUAAGGCCUCGCGCGAUUGGAGCGGCCGAUGUCAGAUUAGGUAGUUGGUGGGGUAAAGGCUCACCAAGCCAACGAUCUGUAGCUGGUCUGAGAGGACGACCAGCCACACUGGAACUGAGACACGGCCCAGACUCCUACGGGAGGCAGCAGUGGGGAAUUUUGGACAAUGGGCGCAAGCCUGAUCCAGCAAUGCCGCGUGCAGGAAGAAGGCCUUCGGGUUGUAAACUGCUUUUGUACGGAACGAAACGGCUCUGGUUAAUACCCGGGGCUAAUGACGGUACCGUAAGAAUAAGCACCGGCUAACUACGUG
RNAcentral lists this ribosomal RNA (482 nucleotides) under uncultured bacterium. Its description in RNAcentral is "partial 16S ribosomal RNA". It matches the Rfam family "Bacterial small subunit ribosomal RNA", at positions 30 to 507 of the family's 1533-position model. The record is from RNAcentral.